Molecule: ribosomal RNA, 419 nt
Filed under: bacterium
Lineage: Bacteria
Description: partial 16S ribosomal RNA
Rfam family: Bacterial small subunit ribosomal RNA
Source: RNAcentral
UGGGGGAUAUUGCACAAUGGGCGAAAGCCUGAUGCAGCGACGCCGCGUGGGGGAUGAAGGCCUUCGGGUUGUAAACUUCUUUUGCUCUGAACAAGGCGCACCAUGGGGUGUGUUGAGUGUAGGGGUUGAUUAGCGCCGGCUAACUACGUGCCAGCAGCCGCGGUAAUACGUAGGGCGCGAGCGUUGUCCGGAAUUAUUGGGCGUAAAGGGCUUGUAGGUGGCUGGUUGCGUCUGUCGUGAAAGCUCAUGGCUUAACUGUGGGUUUGCGGUGGGUACGGGCUGGCUUGAGUGCAGUAGGGGAGGCUGGAAUUCCUGGUGUAGCGGUGGAAUGCGCAGAUGUCAGGAGGAAGACCGGUGGCGAAGGCGGGUCUCUGGGCUGUUACUGACACUGAGGAGCGAAAGCAUGGGGAGCGAACAGG